UACGGGGGGGGCAAGCGUUGUUCGGAAUUACUGGGCGUAAAGGGCUCGUAGGCGGCCAACUAAGUCAGACGUGAAAUCCCCAGGCUCAACCUGGGAACUGCGUCUGAUACUGGAUGGCUUGAAUCCGGGAGAGGGAUGCAGAAUUCCGGGUGUAGCGGUGAAAUGCGCAGAUAUCCGGAGGAACACCGGUGGCGAAGGCGGCUUCCUGGACCGACGCUGACGCUGAGGCGCGAAAGCUAGGGGAGCAAACGGG
RNAcentral lists this ribosomal RNA (253 nucleotides) under uncultured bacterium. RNAcentral's name for it is "partial 16S ribosomal RNA". It matches the Rfam family "Bacterial small subunit ribosomal RNA", at positions 524 to 776 of the family's 1533-position model. The record is from RNAcentral.